GCUCUUAGGAGUUGUAGACUAGGUUUGCAAGUCUCAUCUUCUCACAAUUCUCACUGGCCUUAACUGUACGGUGUAGAGGACUGAGUCGUUUACUUUGAGAAAAUUAGAGUGUUCAAAGCAGGCUAUCGCCUUGAAUAUAUUAGCAUGGAAUAAUAAUAUAGGACUUUGGUUCUAUUUUGUUGGUUGUUCGAGGACCGAAGUAAUGAUUGAUUAGGGACGGUUGGGGGCGUCCAGUAUUCUGAAGCGAGAGGUG
This 253-nucleotide ribosomal RNA is filed under the name uncultured marine eukaryote. RNAcentral's name for it is "partial 18S ribosomal RNA". The stretch from base 72 to 253 matches the Rfam family "Eukaryotic small subunit ribosomal RNA", at positions 734 to 913 of the family's 1831-position model. The record is from RNAcentral.